This is a non-coding RNA of Phascolarctos cinereus (koala), 474 nucleotides long. NCBI's taxonomy places the organism in Eukaryota, Metazoa, Chordata, Mammalia, Diprotodontia, Phascolarctidae. The record is from RefSeq and is a predicted model, not a curated record.
UUAUGAUUCCCAUACAGUUGAGGAAACUGAGACAGACAGAAGAUUUAAGAUGGCUUAUGGCAAGAAAUAAAGGGGCCAAGACAUCCAAGAGACUCUUAUAACCAUCAUAAUUACAACAAUAUAUUGCCAAAACAACAUACAUCUUUAAGACUGUCCUAGAGAUAAUUUUUAGUAAAACAAGAAUAUACAAUUAAUUGGUAUAGCUAUCGCUACGUAAAUUUCAAAAGUGAUAUUCAACAAAGUCACCUUUGAAAUAAGAGACUUAUACCUCUAGUAAUCAUUCAAUGAUGGCAGAGGGGAAAAUAUCUUUUCUGGCAAGGUUUUUGAAGCCUAUGUCAUCAGUGAUAAAGCUGGAAAUCUGCCUUUUCAACAUCAUAUUAUUGGGAAAAAAAUCUUCAAUUUAAUCAAAGCUUUAAAACUUUUCCAAGCAUAUGUGUCUGAACAAUUGUUAAAAUAUAUGAUAAGUCUUUUGCA